This 864-nucleotide long non-coding RNA is filed under the name Olea europaea subsp. europaea. The record is from RNAcentral. Lineage: Eukaryota; Viridiplantae; Streptophyta; Magnoliopsida; Lamiales; Oleaceae.
GAUCAUGUAAACAAAUAAAGACAUCUCAUAUCGUUCGUACAACUAGAGAGAAAAUUCGAGUUUUAUACAAUUCAGUAAGUAGACGAGCAACAAGUUCUGAAGUACAUAGUUUGUUGGUUCAUGAUAUCGGAGCCAUCAUUCGGUCACACUGCCUGAUGAAUACGGGUUAUUGGGAGACCAUUUUUCCAAGUGAGAAGAAGGACCUUAUGGAUGAGAUCACGGUAAGCAUUUGUAAAUGUGUUUAUGCUGUUGGAAAUUUAAUAGCCAAAUAAAACUACAUGAAUCAAUUAAAAGCACAUUACUCAUUUUAUUUUGUGAUUUUAUUUAUUCUUACUUUGUGGUUUGUUAUCUAGAAUUGGAUAGUUUGUUCCAAUUAAGGUUUCUUUAUAUUUUAUGAUUUUUUUAAUUAUGUCAAUUUCAAACGAACUUCGAGAUAGAUUUGAAAAACUCAAGAUCGGCAAAUUAUAUUAAUAGACUAUACAAAGGGAGGUAUAGAGAGUUUAAGGCUGAGUUGAGUGCAUACUAUAAGUUGCAGAAGACACAUGAGAAUGCAUUAGCCAACCCUCCUUUGGAGAUGCUCGAUAGAGGUGUAAAUCAAUGGGUGGACCUGUGUAAUCAUUUGAACUCCAAUAAGAUCAAGGUAUUUAUUAUGUAAUUCUUUACCAGUUCAUAGCUUUUACUUCUAAUUUUGUUAUGUAAUAUCUAUAUAUUUUUCUUUGCAGAAAGCAUCAUCAGUAAACAUAGUGAAUUGAUCGAAGAAGAAGUACAAUCAUCGCACUGGUUCACGUCCUUUCUCAUACAUAGUGGAGAAGAUGGUUGAGGUAGUGAAUUUAUCAACACGACAUAAUUAAAUAAUUUUGCUAC